This 700-nucleotide ribosomal RNA is filed under the name uncultured Gammaproteobacteria bacterium. RNAcentral's name for it is "bacterial SSU rRNA". It matches the Rfam family "Bacterial small subunit ribosomal RNA", at positions 94 to 791 of the family's 1533-position model. The record is from RNAcentral. Lineage: Bacteria; Pseudomonadati; Pseudomonadota; Gammaproteobacteria.
AGUGGCGGACGGGUGAGUAACACAUAGGAAUCUGCCCGAGAGUGGGGGAUAACCCAGGGAAACUUGGAUUAAUACCGCAUGAUCUCUACGGAGCAAAGCUGGGGACCUUCGGGCCUGGCGCUUUUGGAGGAGCCUAUGUCUGAUUAGCUUGUUGGUGAGGUAACGGCUCACCAAGGCGACGAUCAGUAACUGGUCUGAGAGGACGACCAGUCACACCGGAACUGAGACACGGUCCGGACUCCUACGGGAGGCAGCAGUGGGGAAUAUUGGACAAUGGGCGAAAGCCUGAUCCAGCAAUGCCGCGUGUGUGAAGAAGGCCUUCGGGUUGUAAAGCACUUUAGGAUGGAAAGAAGAAACUUCAGUUAAUAGCUGAAGUCUUGACGGUACCAUCAGAAUAAGCACCGGCUAACUCUGUGCCAGCAGCCGCGGUAAUACAGAGGGUGCAAGCGUUAAUCGGAUUUACUGGGCGUAAAGCGUGUGUAGGUGGUGGCGUAAGUCGAUUGUGAAAUCCCCGGGCUCAACCUGGGAACUGCUUUCGAUACUGCGUCACUAGAGUACGGUAGAGGGUGGUGGAAUUUCCGGUGUAGCGGUGAAAUGCGUAGAUAUCGGAAGGAACAUCAAUGGCGAAGGCAACCACCUGGGCCUGUACUGACACUGAGACACGAAAGCGUGGGGAUCAAACAGGAUUAGAUACCCUGGU